CUUGGUUUCAUUGGAGCAGAAAAGUAUUCAAUGCAAUGACAUGCUUUAUCAACUUGGCCUUAAUAAACCAGAUGUUUUAUUGUAGCCAAGGACAAAUGUCUAAACAGUCUUCAAGAUUUACUGGGGUGUUUUGGUUACGUAAUUUCGAGUCGCUGGACAGAAAGGCAGUUUUUGUCUGCUUAGCCACUAAGUGUCACUGUUGUCUUGCUGUUUAAUUUAAUUUACUUUCUGAAAGAGUCUUUUUGAAGGCUCAACUGCUCUGUAAUUGCAUACUGUAAUAUCCCACAAGUGGAUGAAAUAUGCGGCUAAAAAAAGUGGUGCAACAAAGCACUCAUAGCAGUUUAAACCACUUUAAAUAGAAUCACUGAUGAAGAAAUUUGAAUUAAACUUUGAAAACUCCUAAAAUUUAGUAGAAAUUACAAAUUUAAAUGGACUAAAGUUAAAUGGAUAAAAUGACGAAAACAUAUUUACAGUGAUGUAGUUUCUACAAUACAUCGAGCAUUACUUGGAAUAACACACUUAUUGGUAUAAAGGAGGGUAAUGUUGUUAAACUCUCCAUGUUGGUGUCUCGUCUCUAUUUACAUGAACACUAAUGGUGCAGGAACAAACACUGGCUGUUUGAGUCAUGUCAAGGUUGGAAUCGUGACAAAUUCUCUCAUGGUUCACCUAAAUUACCAGCAGUACUGGCUAAGAAAGCUUAGCUACCAGGCUGUAAACAAGGCAGUAUUUUAGGUAAGUAGACUCAUCUUUGGUUGCCUGAUAGGAUGCACACCAAUCUCGUGUUUUUUAUGUAAUCCAUGACACAUCUUUGCCAUAAAACCUUGUUUGCUUAUAAUACCCUGGCCGAUGACAUGAGGCUACGAAUGUCUUUUUGACAUUUACAGAAUGAUAGUAGCCGUGGCAUCAUCGACAGGUUUCACGAUGUAACUGUGCUUGCUCUGGCCUGGCGUUCCUCUUUGUAUCCAGAGAGCUUUCCCAGUCGCUCUCCCACAGCCGAGGCUUGAUUGUUGGACUGCAGAUCCCCAAAGACCUCCACUGAGGGUCAGGAAUCUAGUGCUCUCUGUGUCAAAAAAUUCUGUUCCAUAUGGAAAAUGUGACAUGUACAGUAGCUGCAAUGCUCUUGUUAUAUAAUUGGAUUAAAUUGUUUAAAGAAUAUGCAUGCUUGAAGAAUAAAUUGACUGUUAAAGAUUGGCGGUUACUGGGU
Molecule: long non-coding RNA, 1204 nt
Organism: Cyprinus carpio (common carp)
Lineage: Eukaryota; Metazoa; Chordata; Actinopteri; Cypriniformes; Cyprinidae
Source: Ensembl